GGAAGUAAAAGUCGUAACAAGAUUUCCGUAGGUGAACCUGCGGAAGGAUCAUUCAUAAUAAGUGUUUUAUGGCACUUUUUUAAAUCCAUAUCCACCUUGUGUGCAAUGUCAGGGUUGAUUUUUCUCUCGAGAGGAUCAACCCCAAACAUCAACUAUAUCUCAACUCUUUGUCUGAAAAUAUUAUGAAUAAAACAAUUCAAAAUACAACUUUCAACAACGGAUCUCUUGGCUCUC
Molecule: unclassified non-coding RNA, 234 nt
Filed under: plant metagenome
Description: partial contains small subunit ribosomal RNA, internal transcribed spacer 1, and 5.8S ribosomal RNA
Rfam family: Eukaryotic small subunit ribosomal RNA (bases 1-54)
Source: RNAcentral